AACGAACGCUGGCGGCAGGCUUAACACAUGCAAGUCGAGCGCCCCGCAAGGGGAGCGGCAGACGGGUGAGUAACGCGUGGGAAUGUACCCUUUGCUACGGAAUAGCUCCGGGAAACUGGAAUUAAUACCGUAUGUGCCCUUCGGGGGAAAGAUUUAUCGGCAAAGGAUCAGCCCGCGUUGGAUUAGCUAGUUGGUGGGGUAAAGGCCUACCAAGGCGACGAUCCAUAGCUGGUCUGAGAGGAUGAUCAGCCACAUUGGGACUGAGACACGGCCCAAACUCCUACGGGAGGCAGCAGUGGGGAAUAUUGGACAAUGGGCGCAAGCCUGAUCCAGCCAUGCCGCGUGAGUGAUGAAGGCCUUAGGGUUGUAAAGCUCUUUCACCGGAGAAGAUAAUGACGGUAUCCGGAGAAGAAGCCCCGGCUAACUUCGUGCCAGCCGCCGCCGUAA
Molecule: ribosomal RNA, 447 nt
Filed under: uncultured bacterium
Lineage: Bacteria
Description: partial 16S ribosomal RNA
Rfam family: Bacterial small subunit ribosomal RNA
Source: RNAcentral